UGGGGAAUUUUGGACAAUGGGGUAAACCCUGAUCCAGCCAUCCCGCGUGUGCGAUGAAGGCCUUCGGGUUGUAAAGCACUUUUGGCAGGAAAGAAACGUCAUGGGUUAAUACCCCGUGAAACUGACGGUACCUGCAGAAUAAGCACCGGCUAACUACGUGCCAGCCGCCGCGGUAAUCCGUAGGGUGCAAGCGUUAAUCGGAAUUACUGGGCGUAAAGCGUGCGCAGGCGGUUCGGAAAGAAAGAUGUGAAAUCCCAGAGCUCAACUUUGGAACUGCAUUUGUAACUACCGGGCUAGAGUGUGUCAGAGGGAGGUGGAAUUCCGCGUGUAGCAGUGAAAUGCGUAGAUAUGCGGAGGAACACCGAUGGCGAAGGCAGCCUCCUGGGAUAACACUGACGCUCAUGCACGAAAGCGUGGGGAGCAAACAGG
This 429-nucleotide ribosomal RNA is filed under the name Acidobacteriota bacterium. RNAcentral describes it as "Acidobacteria bacterium partial 16S ribosomal RNA". It matches the Rfam family "Bacterial small subunit ribosomal RNA", at positions 355 to 776 of the family's 1533-position model. Lineage: Bacteria; Pseudomonadati; Acidobacteriota. The record is from RNAcentral.